This 420-nucleotide ribosomal RNA is filed under the name bacterium. Its description in RNAcentral is "partial 16S ribosomal RNA". It matches the Rfam family "Bacterial small subunit ribosomal RNA", at positions 355 to 776 of the family's 1533-position model. The record is from RNAcentral.
UGGGGGAUAUUGCACAAUGGGCGAAAGCCUGAUGCAGCGACGCCGCGUGGGGGAUGAAGGCUUUCGGGUUGUAAACCUCUUUCGCUAUCGAACAAGGCCCGCUUAGGGUGGGUUGAGGGUAGGUGGAGAAGAAGCGCCGGCUAACUACGUGCCAGCAGCCGCGGUAAUACGUAGGGCGCGAGCGUGGUCCGGAAUUAUUGGGCGUAAAGGGCUUGUAGGCGGCUUGUUGCGCCUGCUGUGAAAACGCGGGGCUUAACUUCGCGCGUGCAGUGGGUACGGGCAGGCUUGGGUGUGGUAUGGGUGACUGGAAUUCCAGGUUUAGCGGUGGAAUGCGCAGAUAUCUGGAGGAACACCGAUGGCGAAGGCAGGGCACUGGGCCAUUACUGACGCUGAGGAGCGAAAGCAUGGGUAGCGAACAGG